GGCGGCAUGCUUUACACAUGCAAGUCGAACGGCAGCACGGGAGCAAUCCUGGUGGCGAGUGGCGAACGGGUGAGUAAUAUAUCGGAACGUGCCUUAUAGUGGGGGAUAACGCAGCGAAAGUUGCGGUAAUACCGCAUACGCCCUGAGGGGGAAAGCGGGGGAUCGAAAGACCUCGCGCUACUAGAGCGGCCGAUAUCUGAUUAGCUAGUUGGUGAGGUAAAGGCUCACCAAGGCUUCGAUCAGUAGCUGGUCUGAGAGGACGAUCAGCCACACUGGGACUGAGACACGGCCCAGACUCCUACGGGAGGCAGCAGUGGGGAAUUUUGGACAAUGGGGGCAACCCUGAUCCAGCAAUGCCGCGUGAGUGAAGAAGGCCUUCGGGUUGUAAAGCUCUUUUGUCAGGGAAGAAACAGCAGCUCUAACACAGCUGUGAAUGACGGUACCUGAAGAAUAAGCACCGGCUAACUACGUGCCAGCAGCCGCGGUAAUACGUAGGGUGCAAGCGUUAAUCGGAAUUACUGGGCGUAAAGCGUGCGCAGGCGGUUAUACAAGACAGGCGUGAAAUCCCCGGGCUUAACCUGGGAAUUGCGUCUGUGACUGUAUGGCUAGAGUGUGUCAGAGGGGGGUAGAAUUCCACGUGUAGCAGUGAAAUGCGUAGAUAUGUGGAGGAAUACCAAUGGCGAAGGCAGCCCC
This 693-nucleotide ribosomal RNA is filed under the name Pseudomonadota bacterium. RNAcentral describes it as "bacterial SSU rRNA". It matches the Rfam family "Bacterial small subunit ribosomal RNA", at positions 38 to 728 of the family's 1533-position model. The record is from RNAcentral. Lineage: Bacteria; Pseudomonadati; Pseudomonadota.